This 465-nucleotide ribosomal RNA is filed under the name Vreelandella stevensii. Its description in RNAcentral is "partial 16S ribosomal RNA". It matches the Rfam family "Bacterial small subunit ribosomal RNA", at positions 338 to 795 of the family's 1533-position model. Lineage: Bacteria; Pseudomonadati; Pseudomonadota; Gammaproteobacteria; Oceanospirillales; Halomonadaceae. The record is from RNAcentral.
CCUACGGGGGGCUGCAGUGGGGAAUAUUGGACAAUGGGGGCAACCCUGAUCCAGCCAUGCCGCGUGCGUGAAGAAGGCCCUCGGGUUGUAAAGCACUUUCAGUGAGGAAGAACGCCUGGUGGUUAAUACCCAUCAGGAAAGACAUCACUCACAGAAGAAGCACCGGCUAACUACGUGCCAGCAGCCGCGGUAAUACGGAGGGUGCGAGCGUUAAUCGGAAUUACUGGGCGUAAAGCGCGCGUAGGUGGCUUGAUAAGCCGGUUGUGAAAGCCCCGGGCUCAACCUGGGAACGGCAUCCGGAACUGUCAAGCUAGAGUGCAGGAGAGGAAGGUAGAAUUCCCGGUGUAGCGGUGAAAUGCGUAGAGAUCGGGAGGAAUACCAGUGGCGAAGGCGGCCUUCUGGACUGACACUGACACUGAGGUGCGAAAGCGUGGGUAGCAAACAGGAUUAGAUACCCCAGUAGUC